Long non-coding RNA from Salvia splendens (bonfire salvia), 562 nucleotides. RefSeq lists it as uncharacterized. The record is from RefSeq and is a predicted model, not a curated record. The transcript has 3 exons. NCBI's taxonomy places the organism in Eukaryota, Viridiplantae, Streptophyta, Magnoliopsida, Lamiales, Lamiaceae.
UUGGAUUAAGGAGAUGAACGACCAGGAUUUGAGUAGUAAUUAAGCACCCCGAAGUUCAUUAUUUAGACUAUUUCGUUCAUUACGGGGGUGAAUUAGUAAUUGUAUAGUAUGAAAUUUUGGAGAACACGAGGGGUCGCGAAUUUAGCGGGAUACACCCGCUGAUUACAAUCUGCCGCCUCAUUCUUCACAAACCGCAUUUACUCCACUAAUCUCUCCACUAUCCAUCUCAAAAUCCAUCGGACUUGCAAAACCCUAGCCGCCGUGGACUUUUUUGGCGACGAUUACACCGGUUUUUCAGUGGAUUUGUAUUCUCGUGGUCGGUUCCGAACAUUACUCCGCCGCGUUCUAAGUAGAGACGCAGAUCUUAUAAUGCCGAAAAGAGGACGGCCAAGCAAUUCGCAGCAAACCCAGCAAGAUGGGACAAAGCUGGUGAGGCGCAACAUAGAAGAUGCAGUGGAUGAUCUUCUGCCGGUUGGAAUAGCCAGGAAAUUCCGCGAACGAAUUACGGAAGCUUCAACCAGCUCUGCCCAAAAUAAAUGCGAAGACAAGAAGAACAAAGGCC